CUGGGAUGGAAGGAAAGAAAAGAAAGAGUAAAAAAUGAGAGAGGGGAUGGGAGAAGGAUCGACAAGAAAGGAAAGAAGGAGGAAAAAGUAGAAAAGCUCAACUUCAUAGGGAAUCCUCCUCGUCAAGUAUUAGAUUAUAUGCCCUGGACAAACCAAUGCUCUCCCAACUUUACAGAUGCCUAUUUUAACAUAUGAAACAAUUUGACCUUUUGGGUACGAAUGUUGAAAAGGCAUAUAUGGUAAUUGUCCUAUGUAUGAAAUAUCUAUUUAAGGUCUCCAUUUGUUUAACAUUAUCAGACCCGUUGCACAUGUCUGAAGUUGGAACGAAUAUAUAUGUAUAAAACCUGAAACGGAUGGAAUUGCUUCUUAUUAAGGAUACUGUAUGCAUAUAUAUAUAUAUAUAUAUGUGUAUGUAUUUAUUUA
Pyrus x bretschneideri (Chinese white pear) is the source of this 423-nucleotide long non-coding RNA. RefSeq lists it as uncharacterized. The transcript has 2 exons. NCBI's taxonomy places the organism in Eukaryota, Viridiplantae, Streptophyta, Magnoliopsida, Rosales, Rosaceae. The record is from RefSeq and is a predicted model, not a curated record.